RNAcentral lists this ribosomal RNA (435 nucleotides) under Triticum aestivum (bread wheat). RNAcentral describes it as "partial small subunit ribosomal RNA". The record is from RNAcentral. Lineage: Eukaryota; Viridiplantae; Streptophyta; Magnoliopsida; Poales; Poaceae.
AUGCGUCAGGGACUGCAGGUGCACCGUACCCUGGAGCUUAACACACUGAAGCCCGCUGAGUACCUUUCCUCCAUGCGCCAGGGACCAGAGCCACUGACGCUCAUCCCUUGUGCCCUUGUACGCACGAUCCCUCGCUGUCUUCCCCAGUCAAUCCCUAAGCAUGUGCCUGCGCCGGGAAACCUGGUCAUCGAGGAUGUGGAGAAGACUGCGCUCGGGGUUCAAGACAAACUCAGGCAGAAAGGAGGACCUGAGUACUGUAUGCGCACCAUCAGGGCAACGGUUGAAAUCUUGAAGGAGAAGCAAGAGAAGGCGUUGCGCAGGCAAUCUUUGUUGAAGAAGUUCAAGGCAUGGGCAGAUGACACCUCCAGGGGGUUUACCUUCUAUUCGAUCGGGGAAAAGGUACUUCAAGUUUGGGACAAGUACUUCCCGAAGUAG